RNAcentral lists this transfer RNA (66 nucleotides) under Triops sp. EPP1. RNAcentral describes it as "tRNA-Trp". Lineage: Eukaryota; Metazoa; Arthropoda; Branchiopoda; Notostraca; Triopsidae. The record is from RNAcentral.
AAGAUCUUAAGUUAACUAAACUAUGAGCCUUCAAAGCUUAAUAUAAGAAAAAAUUCUUAGAUCUUA